UACGUAGGGCGCAAGCGUUGUCCGGAAUUAUUGGGCCUAAAGCAUCCGUAGCCGGCCUUACAAGUCCUCCGUUAAAUCCAGCUGCUUAACAGAUGGGCUGCGGAGGAUACUAUAAGACUAGGAGGCAGGAGAGGCAAGCGGUACUCAGUGGGUAGGGGUAAAAUCCGUUGAUCCAUUGAAGACCACCAGUGGCGAAGGCGGCUUGCCAGAAUGCGCUCGACGGUGAGGGAUGAAAGCUGGGGGAGCAAACCGG
This 253-nucleotide ribosomal RNA is filed under the name uncultured bacterium. RNAcentral describes it as "partial 16S ribosomal RNA". It matches the Rfam family "Bacterial small subunit ribosomal RNA", at positions 524 to 776 of the family's 1533-position model. The record is from RNAcentral.